UCGAUAGGAUGCAUGGAACUGGUCGAUAGGAUGCAUGGAACUGGUCGAUAGGAUGCAUGGAACUGGUCGAUUGGAUGCAUGGACCUCAGGUCGAUAGGAUGCAUGGACCUGGUCGAUAGGAUGCAUGGACCUGGUCGAUAGGAUGCAUGGACCUCAGGUCGAUAGGAUGCAUGGAACUGGUCGAUAGGAUGCAUGGACCUCAGGUCGAUAGGAUGCAUGGAACUGGUCGAUAGGAUGCAUGGACCUCAGGUCGAUAGGAUGCAUGGAACUGGUCGAUAGGAUGCAUGGAACUGGUCGAUAGGAUGCAUGGACCUCAGGUCGAUAGGAUGCAUGGAACUGGUCGAUAGGAUGCAUGGAACUGGUCGAUAGGAUGCAUGGAACUGGUCGAUAGGAUGCAUGGAACUGGUCGAUAGGAUGCAUGGAACUGGUCGAUAGGAUGCAUGGAACUGGUCGAUUGGAUGCAUGGACCUCAGGUCGAUAGGAUGCAUGGACCUGGUCGAUAGGAUGCAUGGACCUGGUCGAUAGGAUGCAUGGACCUCAGGUCGAUAGGAUGCAUGGAACUGGUCGAUAGGAUGCAUGGACCUCAGGUCGAUAGGAUGCAUGGACCUCAGGUCGAUAGGAUGCAUGGACCUCAGGUCGAUAGGAUGCAUGGACCUCAGGUCGAUAGGAUGCAUGGACCUCAGGUCGAUAGGAUGCAUG
Long non-coding RNA from Oncorhynchus tshawytscha (Chinook salmon), 699 nucleotides. The record is from Ensembl. NCBI's taxonomy places the organism in Eukaryota, Metazoa, Chordata, Actinopteri, Salmoniformes, Salmonidae.